This 287-nucleotide ribosomal RNA is filed under the name uncultured bacterium. Its description in RNAcentral is "partial 16S ribosomal RNA". It matches the Rfam family "Bacterial small subunit ribosomal RNA", at positions 29 to 306 of the family's 1533-position model. The record is from RNAcentral.
AAUGAACGCUGGCGGCGCGCCUAAUACAUGCAAGUCGAGCGAGAAGACGUAGCAAUACGUUUGUAAAGCGGCGAACGGGUGAGGAAUACAUGGGUAACCUACCCUAGAGUGGGGAAUAACUAGCCGAAAGGUUAGCUAAUACCGCGUACGCUCCUUGGACUUCGGUUCAGGGAGGAAAGCGAUGCCGAGGGUAUCGCGCUCUUGGAUGGGCUCAUGUCCUAUCAGCUUGUUGGGAGGUAACGGCUCACCAAGGCUUCGACGGGUAGCUGGUCUGAGGAGGACGAUCA